UAAUUUCUUUUUCCUUUUCUUUUUUUAAUUUUGAGACAGAGUAUCACUAAGUUGCCCAGGGAGACCUUGCCAUCCUCCUGUCUCAGGUCCCCAGGUAGCUAGACCUCAGACUUGGGCAUCCUGGUCUGGCUGUGAAUCUAUCUUUAUUACACAGAUAGUCUAAUCCAGAGCCUUGCCUUUGCUAGACAGAGGUUCUACUACUCAGGUACUCAGCUACACCCACAGCCUAGUCAUUCUUUGUACAUUCCAAGCUUUUGUCAAAUGCAUUAACUUUUAUUUUAAAGUCUAUACUUUUUUUGUAGUUAAAAAACAACUCCUAAAACUGUUUAUUCAGACAUAUUUAUUAAAUAUAAAGGACCCAUUGAGCUCGAAUGGUAGAAGCCCAUCUCUAAUGGCUGCAUUCAAGUGCUAAUGUAACUAGAACGUGCUGACAUUAUCACAGCUUCUGCAGAUUUCAUCUAUCAUAGACACCAGGACAUGUCUUGGUUCUAUGUGUAUUUACAGCAAUGAUUCUAAGCAAAUGGUUAUAAGCACAGCAUCCCCUGCAUAGCAAGAAUUCAAACAUUAGUUGAACUGAAACAGCUCACGAGAAUGAGCCUGUCACUUGGGCAUACCAAUAAGCCUUUACUGAAGUAAGUGUAUUUAUUAAGGUGUUUUAUUACUACCACCACCAGAAAGAGCACAUUGACCUCUGCAGCUGAUUCCUCCUCAGUCCCCCCUCGCUCAGCCUUUUACUCGGGACCAUCUAUUCCCGUAUCCUCAGUUACUCUCAGGGUAGUUUUGACAUACUCUUGCCAUUUCCUCGUCUUGUCAUACCUGAUUUAAAUGUCUUGGUUUAAUUACUGCAGUUUGGCUGUUGCCUACCCAGCUAUUCCCUUAACCGGUACUAUGGAACACACCUUGCCUGUCUUGUUAAAGAUGACUAUGUGUCUACUCAGGGCCAGCCUCUUUGUCCAUUCCUACUGUUCAUAGUCCUGUCCACUAGCUGUAGAGGUCUAAACUCCUGACUCAAUUCCUUUGCACUCAUGCUUUCUCGGUCUUGUUGGAAGCUUGGUAAACCAUCUGCAUUCACAAGGCAACAAGAAGCAACUUUGCAGAGCUCCAGAGGAAGUCAGACUGUGGUUCAUUCUCAUCUUAGUAGUAUAUCAUCUGUAUGUUGGCGUCUCAAAUUGGGGCUCAUGUAAUUGAACCGAGUCACGAUGACUUUGGCAAGCAUAGGGUUCUGAAUGCCAAACAGCCAAAAUUUGAUUCAAAUCAAGUACAUCCUAGUGUUGCCUGGUGCAACACUGUUUCCUGCAGCCUGGAUCCGGAACACAUACACACUCAGUUUGCACUCAGCCAGCCAGUGAGCCGUAAACACCAACACGCACUGCCUAAAACACCUCUGUUUGGGUUUAACUAUUAACAAAUGAACUGCAUCUCAUUUGUACAUACAUUUCAUUUGGGUGUACAUAUUUAUUUUUUCAAAACAGAGUAUCUGAGUAGUCCUGGCUGUCUUGGAACUUACUCUGUAGACCAGGCUGUCCUUAAUCUCAGAGACCCUCCUGCCUCUGCUUCCAAGUUCUAGGAUUAAAGACAUGCACCACCACUGCCUGGCUCUGUAUUGGUUUUAUUAAAAAUUCCAAACAAUAUGCAAGACCUACUAUACUCUGCACCAACAGGUCUGACUGACCCAAAAGGAGAUGAUGGAAACCAUGGCCUGGGAGGUAUAGACAAUUACUUGAAAGGGAUGGUUAAUACAGUGAUUUCAGACAGUAAGAAGGCUUGCCAAUAUAUCUUUUUCAUGAUGUUCUUGCUAGAAAGGUGAAAUUGCAGGAGUCUGAGUCUGAACACUCUUGGAGCUUUGUGGUUAUGGUAGCAGUUCAGAAAGGCUCCUGGGGACAAGACAGGUGCUACAAGCCAAGCAAGUUUAUGGAUCUGAACCACCAGUCCAAGAAUCUGGUCAAAAUUCAGAUUUUCUUUACAAAAUAUGCUAUAUGUUUUAUUAUUCUCACACUUUCCAACUAUUAAAAGACAAAAACUAAAAAUAUAUAAAUAUUUUAAAGGAACUAUUUAUUUUUAUAUACACAUGUAAGCAACAGUU
This 2083-nucleotide long non-coding RNA is filed under the name Mus spretus (western wild mouse). RNAcentral's name for it is "predicted gene 43065 (ENSMSPG00010046423.1)". Lineage: Eukaryota; Metazoa; Chordata; Mammalia; Rodentia; Muridae. The record is from RNAcentral.